AUUACCACGAUCCUUCCUUGCCCACGAUUUGUUUUCAUUCUCUUGUAUCUCUUAGAUACAACAAAAAUAUCACAGAAACCCCAUCGAUAAAAAACAGAAUGUGAAAGUUCUAUUCUCCUUCUUCAACUUCAAAAUCAUAAUUUUUAAUGGGGAUCAUACUGAAUCCCGAUCCAGUUCUGAGAUCAAUUUCUAAGUAAUGAUCCCAACAAGACAACAACUUAUAUUUCCCAAUGACGCUAUGAUCUCCUUCCUUUGCACAGUUUUGUUGACUAUGGUGGAGCACGACACUACUUCAUAGAAACCGGUUUAUGACUAUGAAAGUUGGAGAAAGCGCGAGGACAUGGUGAUCCGAAUAGCUGGAGAUUUGACUCGACCAAAAAGACUAAAAAAAGAAGAAAUAGAAAGAAAUAGAAGGAUAGAAGUCAGCCACAAAUAUAGAUGCAAACGUUUUUAGAAUCAGAAGAAGGGCUUUUGAUAAAAGGACUUGGAGUUGGGCCAAGACUAACUAAUUGAGGCCCAUUAGUUCAACAAACUCUACCUUGGGUCUUAAUUACUUCAACUUCUCUUCUCUCAUUUGUUAUCACCGAAGACGUCUCGAGCUCCCCGUCCCCUUCUUCCAUGGACGAUGACGGUUGUGUUGACAUCGAUUCCUCGCGACGAUGGCCUUAACCGAUCAGAUCCUUCGUCAAGGGUCUUCGAUCUUCCGCUUUGCCUCACUUCUUGAGGAGAUUCGACUUAGCUCCUCCGUAACUCAGUUUCUUGAACCCACCACCGAUGUUUCUUCGGUGCCGUAUCUCACUCCGAUCCUUGUUCAUCAUAAAAGAAGAUCACGACUUCUUCUUUCGCUUGAGAAAGUGAUUCUCUCAAACCGGCGGAAAUGAGAGAAACUUCACCAGAAAUCUGACAUCCCAUUUUCCGCUUUUUCAGCGAAACCAUAUGCGCCUCCUCCAUUGUAUAAAACGACCCAUUGAGCCUCCUUGUUACCGCUUGAGUUAGUCAUUCCGGUUUCCUGUUUUGGUCUAUCCCAGCUUACUCUACCUUAAGCUGAGACCUUCUAGCUUUAGAACUCCUUGCCUUGCAUCUUCAUAGCAGGUCACUUCCUUGUACCUAUUGAGCUUCCUUGUUAUCGAUGAGAAGUAAUAUGAUUGCUCUAACCUUAUUACUUCUUCUUAUGCAAGGUGAAUCGAUAACGAAGUUACCUGUCGUGCCGGUUUCUUAGGCUAUUUUGAGGACUUCACAACAGAGAUCAAUUUUUUCCCUGGCUACGAAAUAUGUGUCUUCGAAUCUUGAUGGUGGGUUUAUUUGCCUUCUAACUCGGUCCCUUGCCAUCAGGUAUGAUAGAUACUCUACAUGGAGCUGUUAACUCCUCGUCAUCUUCCUCUGAUGGAGUUGGUCAUUCUAUCAAAUUUUCAUUGAACGCCAUUCGCCUCAUUCUCUUUUCCUUUGUGUUAUUCUCCAUGUUUUCAAAUUUGGCGCCUCUCUUAAGAUUAUGUAUUGUGUGUUUGUUGAGUUCUUCUUCAUUAAACACGACAUUCCUACUUGUGUCGCAUUAACGACUUUCUGGUACCCACACGCGAUAGCUCUUAUUUCCGAACGGAUAUCCCAUAAAAACACCUUUUAUGGCCCUUGGACUCGUCUCUUCUUGAAUCUUAUGUACAAAAACAGAACACCCGAACCUUUUAAGGUUUCUUAAGUCGCACUUAGUACCUGUCCAUCUCUCUUCAGGCAGUGAAUAAUCAAUCACAGAGUUAGGAGAUCGAUUGAUCACAUAUGUGGCCGCUGAAGCAGCUUCGGCCCAGAAUUCUUGCCCUAACCAUGUCUCCACGAGCAUGCACCAAAUCUUGUCCAUAAUUUUCAUGUUCAUUCGUUCUAAAACUCUGUUCUAUUGUGGAGUAUACAUACAAGUCUUGUGUCUCUUAAUGCCUGAAUCUUUGCAUAGUUUAUCCAACUACUGAUUACAAAACUCAAGACAAUUACCCGUUAAGACACUAUAUUUUCUUCCUUGAUUGAUUUUCCACGGCUUCUUUCCAUUCUUUGAAUUUGCUGAAGGCUUCAUCUUACGUUUUAAGAAAGUAAAUCCAAACUUUGCGUGAAAAAUCAUCUAUGAAGCUUAUAAAGUACUUUCUUCCAGCUAGACUUUCUGGAGUCAAUGGGGCUCCCCAUAAAUCUGAAUGUAUGUACUUGAGAAUUUCUUUAGUGGUAUGCUUCGCAGCGGGAAAGCUUUGCUUGUGAGAUUUUACUAGGACACACGUCUCACAGAACUCAAGUUUGUCCACUUCCUUCUUCGUUACAUAUCCUUUUUCUAUCAGCACAUUCAGAUUCUUCAAACUCAUAUGGCAUAAACGAGAAUGCCAUAUAUAUGUCUUAUCUACAUCAUCCUUUGACAUGUAAGCUUUUCAUUUAGACACUGUCCCUUGUAGGUAAUAUAAAGCUUCGUUGAACUUCUCUGAUAUGAUCUCCUUACCGUCUUUGUAGAACCUGAUCAUAAUGUAUUUCCCUUCAUAGUCGGCAUGUACCUCACAUCCGUGAGAACCACCACGGUUCCAUCAGGUCUCACGAUCCGUAUCUUACCAAUACCUUUUACAUCACAAUGCAUGUUAUUUUCCAUUAGAACCCUUCCCCCUUCGAAUUCUUGUAAGUCAAACAAGACAUCUUUGUUUGGAGUAUAUGGAAAGAGCACCCAGAGUACAUUACCCAUUCUUCUUUCGUGUCACUAGGACUUACGGUUAGUACUAAGGGUUGUUUCGGUUCCUAAGCUACAUUGGCAGAUUUGUAGGAAUACUUUUCUGGACAUUCCCGCUUCCAAUGUCCUUCAUUACCACAUAUGAAACAACCCUUAUUGUUUUUGGCAUAUUUUGGUCUUGAUUUGGAUCUUCUGUACUUGCUCUUAGACCGUUCUUUUAUCAUUCUUGUUUUCUGCUUUGUUGGACCGGUUUGAUGACCUUCCUCUAUCGCCAACAUCAUCUUGAGACUUAUUGAGUUUGCCGCUUUCCAAUAAAUCUCUCUCCUUAGAUAGUGCAGGCCCUGUUACUUCGUUGAUUUGAGAGUGUCUCGACCGUACUUGAGGGUCUCCUUGAGUUGAUCAUAUCAUUGAGGCAUUGAAUUUAGUAAUAGAAUAGCUUGAACUGCUUUAUCAACUUCCACGUUCAUGUUUUUUAAGUCUGCUACUAGCAUUAGGAAGUCAUCCACGUUUGUAUCUAUGCUCUUAUAAUUGUUCAUCUUGA
Long non-coding RNA from Brassica oleracea var. oleracea, 3224 nucleotides. RefSeq lists it as uncharacterized. Lineage: Eukaryota; Viridiplantae; Streptophyta; Magnoliopsida; Brassicales; Brassicaceae. The record is from RefSeq and is a predicted model, not a curated record. The transcript is spliced from 6 exons.